Molecule: transfer RNA, 75 nt
Filed under: Podarcis lilfordi (Lilford's wall lizard)
Lineage: Eukaryota; Metazoa; Chordata; Lepidosauria; Squamata; Lacertidae
Description: tRNA.Ile
Rfam family: tRNA (bases 9-67)
About the family: Transfer RNA (tRNA) molecules are approximately 80 nucleotides in length. Their secondary structure includes four short double-helical elements and three loops (D, anti-codon, and T loops).
Source: RNAcentral
GAAUUAAAUAGCUCAGUUGGUUAGAGCAUGGUGCUUAUAAUGCCAAGGUUGCAGGUUUGAUCCCCGUAUGAAACA